CACAUUCUUCUCUUUCUCGAUGC
RNAcentral lists this non-coding RNA (23 nucleotides) under Arabidopsis thaliana (thale cress). Lineage: Eukaryota; Viridiplantae; Streptophyta; Magnoliopsida; Brassicales; Brassicaceae. The record is from RNAcentral.